This 506-nucleotide ribosomal RNA is filed under the name uncultured bacterium. RNAcentral describes it as "partial 16S ribosomal RNA". It matches the Rfam family "Bacterial small subunit ribosomal RNA", at positions 29 to 523 of the family's 1533-position model. The record is from RNAcentral.
AAUGAACGCUGGCGGUAGGCCUAACACAUGCAAGUCGAACGGCAGCACAGGAGAGCUUGCUCUCUGGGUGGCGAGUGGCGGACGGGUGAGGAAUACACCGGAAUCUACUUUUUCGUGGGGGAUAACGUAGGGAAACUGACGCUAAUACCGCAUACGACCUACGGGUGAAAGCAGGGGACCUUCGGGCCUUGCGCGAUUGAAUGAGCCGAUGUCGGAUUAGCUAGUUGGCGGGGUAAAGGCCCACCAAGGCGACGAUCCGUAGCUGGUCUGAGAGGAUGAUCAGCCACACUGGAACUGAGACACGGUCCAGACUCCUACGGGAGGCAGCAGUGGGGAAUAUUGGACAAUGGGCGCAAGCCUGAUCCAGCCAUACCGCGUGGGUGAAGAAGGCCUUCGGGUUGUAAAGCCCUUUUGUUGGGAAAGAAAUCCAGCUGGCUAAUACCCGGUUGGGAUGACGGUACCCAAAGAAUAAGCACCGGCUAACUUCGUGCCAGCAGCCGCCGUAA